AUUGAACGCUGGCGGCAGGCUUAACACAUGCAAGUCGAGCGGGGGAAGGUAGCUUGCUACCGGACCUAGCGGCGGACGGGUGAGUAAUGCUUAGGAAUCUGCCUAUUAGUGGGGGACAACAUCUCGAAAGGGAUGCUAAUACCGCAUACGUCCUACGGGAGAAAGCAGGGGAUCUUCGGACCUUGCGCUAAUAGAUGAGCCUAAGUCGGAUUAGCUAGUUGGUGGGGUAAAGGCCUACCAAGGCGACGAUCUGUAGCGGGUCUGAGAGGAUGAGCCGCCACACUGGGACUGAGACACGGCCCGUACUGCUACGGGAGGCAGCAGUGGGGAAGAUUGGACAAUGGGGGGAACCCUGAUCCGGCCAUGCCGCGUGUGUGAAGAAGGCCUUAUGGUUGUAAAGCACUUUAAGCGAGGAGGAGGCUACUUUAGUUAAUACCUAGAGAUAGUGGACGUUACUCGCAGAAUAAGCACCGGCUAACUCUGUGCCAGCAGCCGCCGUAA
This 501-nucleotide ribosomal RNA is filed under the name uncultured bacterium. RNAcentral describes it as "partial 16S ribosomal RNA". It matches the Rfam family "Bacterial small subunit ribosomal RNA", at positions 30 to 523 of the family's 1533-position model. The record is from RNAcentral.